This 73-nucleotide transfer RNA is filed under the name Candidatus Woesebacteria bacterium. RNAcentral's name for it is "tRNA-Arg". It matches the Rfam family "tRNA". Rfam says of the family: Transfer RNA (tRNA) molecules are approximately 80 nucleotides in length. Their secondary structure includes four short double-helical elements and three loops (D, anti-codon, and T loops). The record is from RNAcentral. Lineage: Bacteria; Candidatus Woeseibacteriota.
GCCGUCGUAGCUCAAUGGAUAGAGCAAACCCGUCCUAAGGGUGAGGUUGGGGGUUCGACUCCCUUCGACGGCG